This is a long non-coding RNA of Carassius gibelio (silver crucian carp), 1355 nucleotides long. RefSeq lists it as uncharacterized. The record is from RefSeq and is a predicted model, not a curated record. NCBI's taxonomy places the organism in Eukaryota, Metazoa, Chordata, Actinopteri, Cypriniformes, Cyprinidae. The transcript has 5 exons.
GCUCGGAGUUCUCCUCUCAUAUCAGACUGAAUUCUCAGUUUUUUUUCACCAGAGCGCUCCAGUAUUGUUUCCAUAGAUCGAUUUGACAUACUGUUUUGAGAUACACUAUUCCAUCUAUGAGCUGCUCUAUCGGAGUGCCACGAGAGCCCCUCCUUAGAACAUUAUUGGAAAAUCCAUGCUAUGGUAAGUGUGCACUUGAAGUCUUUGCACACUUUCUGAAAUCCACACUGUGGAGCAGGCAGAGCAAUUGUCAAGAAAAGAAGACUCCAUUAACGUUACGACUUUUUAUUUAAAAGAGAUUAUAUGAGCAGAAGAUCUGACAACACGGAGUUCUUCAAGGAUAACGCACCUUUUCUGCCAAACGAGGUCAUAAUUGCUGCUGUACUUUGCAUCCCAAGCCCCCCCUGCAUUUUUAUCACGGAUUGCUGUCACACAAGUUACCAUUUCCUCCCCCGUUGUGGUCGGCCGAGCUACACAUUCUCUUUGUUUUAUUUUAAACAUAAAUAUCCAGAGGAGAAUGGCACCUAUGCUGGAAUUCAUUCAAAUUCUUCCUGUUAAGUAAUCCUGACCGAGCGUCAAAGGUUCAGAUGAAGGGAAUCUACGCUUCCAAGACUCAUGUCUGAACUACUUCUAGAUUCCAAGGUUUUGUUUUUGUUUUUUUUCAAAUCUCAAUUUAGGACUUGGACUGAACAUGCAGCAAAAAAAAAAAAAAGUUUCCUCAAACGGGCACAUGGCAAGAGAUCCUAAAAGCACACAAACACUUGGAGCCCUGAUCUUAAUUUAGAUUGUAUAGUUCUCUUAGUUUAACAUUAAAAUGUCAGGAAUGAGUGCAUAAAUCUUUGUUCUUUAUUUUCAAAUGCUGUACAAGCUUUUUAUUUAAUUUUUUUUUAUGUCAAUUGUAGAUGCAGAUAAUUUAGCAUGAAUAAAAGGUAAGUUAAUCUAACUAGGUUUAGUUCACCCGUAAUAUUAUAUGAAAAGUCUCAUUCCAAUCCUAUUAGACUUUUGUUCAUUUUUGGAACACUAAUGAAAUCUGACAGCUAUACUGUAUUAGACCUUGAAAUGGUAGUUGCAUAGGCUGUCAAUGGAGGGACAGAAAGCAGAGAUUUCAUAAAAUAUACUCUUCAUUUGUGUUUCAAAGAUGAAUGGAAAUCGUAUGGAUUUGGAACGGUAUGAGGGAAAGUAACUGAUGUCAGAAUUCACAUGUUGUGCUUUUAAAUAAUGUGUUCUAUAGGAAAAUUAUGUAAUUUCACUUGACUAUUGACUAUUAGUCUGUAGCAAUUGUUAAUAAUGACAGCCCUGUCUUUGUAUAAAUUUUUACCCCAUGUAUUAAAAAAAUAAUAAAAUAAUAAAAUCUU